CAUCGAUCCUGGCAAUUUUUCCCCUUGGACACCCUGAUUCCUGAUGAGCACAGCAUGGGUGACAUUCGAGUGAAAGUGUUUACAGGUUCCUAUAUCUCAGAUCACAACAGCGCCAAGCAGAGGAGCAGCCAACAAGAAGCAGGUCCAACAACAUGCCUCUCAGCACGAGCGGGAAGUCUAAUUUUCACAUCUGCUCAUUGCUUAGCAGCCAGUGGUCCCCAUUGAAAUGAUAUGGAAAAGAGCAGCGUGAACAUCCUGCCCAACAUCUCCUUUUGUUUGAUGGCGAACAGAAAGUCAAAGGGGUUUGGACUGACAUGAAGCCAUCAAUAGGAGGGAAGAAGGAUCAGCAGGACCCUUGAAGGUGGCCACUGUCAGACAGGUUUAUGGAUGGUGUAGUUCUUCACCAGAACUUCGGCUUUUACACACCACCUCAGGAGCUUAUGCUGAGUCUGUAUUGAAAGGAUUCUGAUAUUUCAUCCAAAAAAGAGCCUACGCAAUCGCACUGAAACCUGAUCCGGGACUCGCAUGAGCCGGGAUUAACAAAAAAUAUUUCAUCUCUGCCUUCUUCCCAGCACCUUGGCCCCUCUUGCUGAUCUUAUCUCCCAAUUACUGCCCUGCAAACAUUCCUGCACUCCAAACAGACUGCGAACGUGGAACGCUGGAGUCCAAGAUCACCUGUUCUUUUCUAGACAUGCAUCUACUUCCUGUUCUGAAGCAACAGUAAGCAGAUGCAGAAGACGUGCCAGUCUAAGAGGCUGUGUGAAGCUCUCUUAAGGACUCAUUCAUCAUUGUAAAAUGGUCAUCCUCCAUUUCAGAAUAAACAGGCUGUCGUUUUUAAUGCAUUCAUUCAUGGGUGGCCACCCCUGCCCACCCAAACAGCCCA
This is a long non-coding RNA of Cyprinus carpio carpio, 883 nucleotides long. The record is from Ensembl. NCBI's taxonomy places the organism in Eukaryota, Metazoa, Chordata, Actinopteri, Cypriniformes, Cyprinidae.